Non-coding RNA from Rhodotorula diobovata, 102 nucleotides. The record is from the annotation of a GenBank genome assembly. Lineage: Eukaryota; Fungi; Basidiomycota; Microbotryomycetes; Sporidiobolales; Sporidiobolaceae.
GCCUGGAUAGUUCAGAGGCAGAAUCCCCGCUUUGGGUCAUUAUACCAUUUAGCAGCUCGUCUUGCGUGCGGGAGGUCCUGGGUUCAAUCCCCAGUUCAGGCC